CUACAAAGGAAUUGACGGGGCCCGCACAAGCGGUGGAGCAUGUGGUUAAUUCGACGCAACGCGAAGAACUUACCAGGGCUUGACAUCCCCUGACCGCGUAUGAAAGUACGUUUUCACCUCGGGUGACAGGGAGACAGGUGGUGCAUGGUUGUCGUCAGCUCGUGUCGUGAGAUGUUGGGUUAAGUCCCGCAACGAGCGCAACCCCUACGUUUAGUUGCUAACGCGUGAAGGCGAGCACUCUAGACGAACUGCCGUUGACAAAACGGAGGAAGGUGGGGAUGACGUCAAAUCAUCAUGCCCCUUAUGUUCUGGGCUACACACGUGCUACAAUGGCCGGUACAGACGGACGCAAAGCCGCGAGGUGGAGCAAAUCCUAAAAAGCCGGUCUCAGUUCGGAUUGCAGGCUGCAAUUCGCCUGCAUGAAGUCGGAAUCGCUAGUAAUCGCAGGUCAGCAUACUGCGGUGAAUACGUUCCCGGGCCUU
This 482-nucleotide ribosomal RNA is filed under the name uncultured Pelotomaculum sp. RNAcentral describes it as "bacterial SSU rRNA". It matches the Rfam family "Bacterial small subunit ribosomal RNA", at positions 903 to 1382 of the family's 1533-position model. The record is from RNAcentral. Lineage: Bacteria; Bacillati; Bacillota; Clostridia; Eubacteriales; Desulfotomaculaceae.